Long non-coding RNA from Drosophila busckii, 2709 nucleotides. RefSeq lists it as uncharacterized. Lineage: Eukaryota; Metazoa; Arthropoda; Insecta; Diptera; Drosophilidae. The record is from RefSeq and is a predicted model, not a curated record. The transcript has 3 exons.
UAUUUAUUAUUAUUUAUUGGCGUUGGCGGCUUGACAGGAUUUAUAAGAUUAUUGACUAACUGGGAUUACGCCUUAUAAAUAAGGUUUACUCGCUGGUUAGUCGCACUCUCUAACUCUCUGUUGGGCUUUGGGCAAGAUGCUGUAGGAUUGCGUAGGAUUGUUGCUUAGCUAAGAUUACACCUUGGACGAAGGCUUGCUCCUCACUAUUUAUAUACUCUACUACUCCUUGAACAGGAUUACACCGCUUGUGACACAAUUAGGUUUACUCGUUAGUAAUCAGGAUUACACCAGGUUUGAAAACACCAGGAUUACUCUUGAUUCUACGAUUGACACCAAAUCGUUUGCGGAUUGCACCCUGACUUGAUUUACUUGACCUGAGUCUAGUUGCGGACAGUCCCAUGAAUCGACUGACCCAGCUUCUACUCGCGCUCGCCCUUUUAUACCGGCUUAACGGUACUUCCUUGAUCCUCUGUUCCAGAUUUGUUGUUGUCCUGUUUGACUGGUUACGGCUGUACAUUUGUUUGACAACAACAAUGCGUGUGACUGCGGUCAGCGCCUAGCAACAACGGUAAAUGUUGCUGGCUGGCUGUUCCGUAAUAACAACGCAAUUGGUUGUUGUUUUUAGCUGCAAUGAUACAGUUGACUAUUUUCUCAACUGUACUCCUGUAUUGUGGGAGCCUUUAUUUGGCUCCUCACACAUUUAAUUGCAAAACAUGCUGAAUUAUAUAAUGAAUUCGACGGUGACGACGACAAAGUACAACAAAAUAUGAAAAAAAGAAAAAUGUCAUAUGAAACGAGUGAAGCAUCAAUCGUCUCUUCGAUUAUAAGGAUUGUGACCGCCGAUGGAAAGCCUUUUAUAUUUCUUGAUAGCGAAGGGUUUCGGGAGAUAUUAAACCCAAUUUAUAACGCGCUUUCGAUGAAUUCCAUAACUUCUCGAAAUGUUAUGGAAUAUGUGACUGUCAAAGAGCAGACCAUUAAAGAAAAUAUUAAAGCGCAUGUAAAGGGAAAUAUUGAAAAUAGAUGUUGCCACUAGAAUGAACAAGGCUAUUUUGGGCGUAAAUUUACAAAUGAUACAGUCUAGUAUGUCUAAAACUGAUAUAUCAAGACUUUAGGCAUGAUACACCUUUGUCAUUCGCACACUGAAAUGUACAUAAAGGAAAAAAUUAUGGAGAUCAUAAAUGACUAUGGAAUCACCCUCGAUCAAGUCUUCAGUAUUACGGAUAACGGAAAAAACAUGAUUAAAGCCAUAGAAAUUUUUAAUGAUAGUUCGGAGACUCUUUUUGACGAUACACACGAUGGCAUUAACGGGGAAGAAGUGAUGGAAAAACUCGAUUCAAUACAGCUGGCGAAUAUUCACCUUGUAAGGUGUGCUGCGCACUCGCUUCAACUGUGCGUAUUCGACGUCAACAAACUAGAUGAGAUCAGCGAAAAAGUUUCAUCAUGUCGAAAAAUUUGUAAAUUAUUGUUACGAGAUGGAACUCUAUGUAUUUAAUGAUACUAAAAUUGUUAGAUUUAAAAGAGUUCCUUGAUGUACACCCUAGCAUUAGUAUUGAUGCGGACUGGGAUUGGAUGGAGAUGUAUAUUGAUGCAUUCAAGGACACAUACGAAGCGACCUUAAAAUUGCAGAAUGAAAAAUUAGUAUAAAGCGAAUUCUUUAUAAAAUGGAUGGAGCUUAAGCUAAAGUGCGAGAACAGCCUAAAUUAUAUAAAAAAAAUUCUACAACAAAUCAAAAUUCGAGAAUGUAAGUUACUUCAAAAUGAUGCAAUGUUAGCUGUAAUCUACAUUGAUCCACGCGUUAAUUGCAUCUUGAAUGGCCAGCAAAAAUACUUAGCAAAGCUAAAUCUAAAAAAAAUAGCAUACCGUUUAUUGGAGCUAAAGAAAGUGCAUUACCCAACUCAAAAUGCGUCAUCAUUCGAGGUUGAUGUCCAGGACCAGAAGAAGGAGCUCACAUCCGACGGGGAUAAAUGUGCUGACAAAGAAGAGUCUCUGUUGUCCGCCUAUUUGGAUGACGUACAGACAAUAUCCGAAAUGAAAGAAGACCCUGCAUCUAAAAAACUGGUCCAAAUCUAUGCUGACAUAGAAAAUUUCGACCUUAUGCAUGGACGUUUGCCAUUACAGACAUAAAGCUGCAGUCGCCCCAUCUGUGUGCGCUCGCACACGUAGUACUGGCUACACCGGCGACUCAGGUGACUGUUGAGAGGGCAUUUUCAGCGCUUCACUGCUCUUUAAGGCCGCGCGCACACUGGGCGCUGAAAGCGGAGCUGAUAGCGGAGCUUAUAAGCGAGCUGAUAAGAUCUGAGCUUUUCAGCGAGCUGAAAUUUUUAAGCUGCGCACACAGAAAGCUUAUUUUUAGCUAAUGCUGAUGCUCAUUUUAAUAUCAGUCACUCAUAGAUUUUCACGCAAUAUGGUUUCAACGCGGCUGCGUCAGUUUUUUCUAACUGAAAAUAAUAGAAUAAAUCGUAAAAUAAAGAAAGAGAAGAGAUAAGUAUGGGUGCAUGCAAUAUACAAAGAACGAGAAGUAUUGGGCGAAUUUCACCACUUGUAUUUUCAGUUACGCGAAUUCCCAAUUAAAUUUUACGAAUAUUCGCGAAUGCAAGUAGAAACAUUUGAUUACAUUUUAAGUGGAGUUCAAGAAAAAAUUCAGAAGCUUGAUACGAAUUUUAGGAAGCCAAUUUCACCCACAGAAAGGCUUUUUGUUACAAUAAGGUA